Molecule: transfer RNA, 69 nt
Filed under: Hybos culiciformis
Lineage: Eukaryota; Metazoa; Arthropoda; Insecta; Diptera; Hybotidae
Description: tRNA-Val
Source: RNAcentral
UAAUUUAAAGCUUUAAUUAAGUUUUUCAUUUACAUUGAAAAGAUUAUUGUGUAAAUCAAUAUAAAUUAA